Molecule: non-coding RNA, 81 nt
Organism: Serendipita sp. 399
Lineage: Eukaryota; Fungi; Basidiomycota; Agaricomycetes; Sebacinales; Serendipitaceae
Source: the annotation of a GenBank genome assembly
GGCCGUGUGGCUCAAUGGCAGAGUGUUUGACUACGAUUCUUAGUGAUCAAAAGGUUGCAGGUUCGAGUCCUGCCUCGGUCA